This 404-nucleotide ribosomal RNA is filed under the name uncultured bacterium. RNAcentral describes it as "bacterial SSU rRNA". It matches the Rfam family "Bacterial small subunit ribosomal RNA", at positions 28 to 433 of the family's 1533-position model. The record is from RNAcentral.
GACGAACGCUGGCGGCGUGCUUAACACAUGCAAGUCGAGCGGUAAGGCCCUUUCGGGGGUACACGAGCGGCGAACGGGUGAGUAACACGUGGGUGACCUGCCCUCAGCUCUGGGAUAAGCCUGGGAAACCGGGUCUAAUACCGGAUAUGACUCCAUGACGCAUGUUGUGGGGUGGAAAGCCUUGUGCGGCUGAGGAUGGGCCCGCGGCCUAUCAGCUUGUUGGUGGGGUGAUGGCCUACCAAGGCGACGACGGGUAGCCGGCCUGAGAGGGCGACCGGCCACACUGGGACUGAGACACGGCCCAGACUCCUACGGGAGGCAGCAGUGGGGAAUCUUGCGCAAUGGGCGAAAGCCCUGACGCAGCGACGCCGCGUGAGGGAUGACGGCCUGGUGUAACGUACUUC